Artibeus jamaicensis (Jamaican fruit-eating bat) is the source of this 601-nucleotide long non-coding RNA. RefSeq lists it as uncharacterized. Lineage: Eukaryota; Metazoa; Chordata; Mammalia; Chiroptera; Phyllostomidae. The transcript has 2 exons. The record is from RefSeq and is a predicted model, not a curated record.
GCUGGCGCGCGGCCAGGCGGGAGCCCGGGGCUCCGGCGGUCUGGACCCGCCCACAAGGCCCGAGCUGGUUGUGGUGGAUAAGCGGCCGGAGCACUGAGCGGACCAGCAGCCGGCAGGAUGAACGUCCAGGCGGCUAUUGCUGCCUUUGCCUUCAGAGAACAACCAGGUGCCAUCAGACCUGUGCCUCGGUCACGCGUGAACUUUCCAGACCUGGCCUUCAUCACUCCCCUGGAGCCAAGCCUUUUCUUCCUCAGGGACUGCUUCUGUCCCAGAGCCGGCCCUCACCUUCCCCACCCUCUCUGCAGCCAGUGUGGAUUCUUUCUAAACGAGUUCAUCUCACUUAUACCUCCCCCACUUUCAGGUAUAAGCCGACUCCAGGACGGCUACACCUUGUUCUCCACUUGGCGCUGCUGCGAGGCCGGGGCGAGGGGCGAGGGGCGCGGAGCGCGGAAGAAGGGGUUUAGACUCCCGCUCCAGGACCCAGUCUCCUCUUUCUAGCUGGAAAUCGGCCAAUAAACCCUUUCUUCCAAAAUGGCGUUCAGCCCUGGAAGAAAAAUUUGUUUUACACCUGUAAUUUGUUAGAUAAAGUGGGCACUCUGUA